This 790-nucleotide long non-coding RNA is filed under the name Vitis vinifera (wine grape). RNAcentral describes it as "long non-coding RNA (VVIN_LNC002491)". The record is from RNAcentral. Lineage: Eukaryota; Viridiplantae; Streptophyta; Magnoliopsida; Vitales; Vitaceae.
UAGGGAAUUAUUUAUGUGUGAUAAAUCAUAAAAUCAAAUCAAAUCAAUUCACAAAACAAAAAUGGACAUGCCUUCGAUGUUUGUUGAAAAAAUAAAAAAGGUAAGGAUAUGUGCACGUGUGGGAGACAAAAAUCUUGCACAAUCUAGCGAUUCUAAGCUGGGCGAGUCUUUAAACACGGACGGCCGGCGGCCCAGUACCCCUCAUGUGCAUAUGUCUCUCUUUUGAUCUUUGUUUUUCUUCGCAACCAUUCCAAACCAAAAGACAAAUAUUGUAUGUUUUCUUCCUCCACAGCUUCUCCACGUCAACUCCCCUUUCCUGUUAUCCAAACAAGGGAGCUGCCUCGAAAAUGCGCCGGUGUGAGCCGCAUGUCUUCUCCAUAUCCAAUCAUUUCGUACUAAAUCAGCACAUAAAAUUAUAAAAUUUUUGUCGACACCAUCAUUUUGUUAUCUCAAUUUCAUGUCCUGGAUCAAUUAAACUUAAGUUUUAUUUUUCUCCAAGCUCAUAGCCGAAAAGUGAGUAGAAUACAAAGCAUACAAACAUGGGUGAAUAGAAUCUUGCUGUGUAAAUCAUCAACUUCCAUCAUUCAGCAUCGGAAACGUACGUCGGCCGUGAAAUGUUGUCCGGUCAAGUCACGCAUCUUCAAUUUAAAAUACUAAAAUGAGAAAUGAGGAGUGAAGUCCUGGAAUUCCUUUUGCCCAAACAACCUUUUUUUAAUGAGGAAAAAUGGGUUCUAUAAUGGGCAUGAAAAUGGAAAGAGUGCCCCGGCUAGUUACCAGACAAUUAGAAAUU